GUUGUUAUAGGGGAGAGAGCCUAUAAAUGCGUGGUUCACUGUGAAACCCAUGGCAGGAAAAGGUUCACAUACUUACUGUUCCGCUUGGGAUUUUGGAUUGUAUCAGGAAUGUAAGUAUGAAUGAAGCAAGGAUGAGGAAUUCGUGACAACUUGGUUUGGCACCAGAAUCUGCAAUUGGCUGCUGUUGACGUGCUUUCAUUUGGUUAUCUCUACUCUGAAUAUGCAUUUUUCAUUUUCUUUUUAUAUUUUGAGGAUAUAGUUUCCUUGAUUCCAAGGACCUGUUUUUGCUUUGGUGUUAUAGAGGAGAGAGCUGUGAAUGUACUGUCGGAUUUGAAAGCUUUGAGCCUUUGGAUUCAACGGGUUGCUUUUUGCCUUGAGUGUUUGUUCUGGAAUAGGUGUCCUAGUAUGAUGUGGCAGUGCUGCUGGUAUUUAUUUAUGUUUAGAAUUAUGAAUCUGAGUAUGAGCAGUGCAUCUCUUUCUUGGAUAAUCAAGAUAUAAGUCUGUUUUGCAGUGAGUUGAACAUUUGUAGAUACUUGAUACAUUUU
Molecule: long non-coding RNA, 545 nt
Filed under: Trifolium pratense (red clover)
Lineage: Eukaryota; Viridiplantae; Streptophyta; Magnoliopsida; Fabales; Fabaceae
Description: long non-coding RNA (TPRA_LNC011991)
Source: RNAcentral